GCUACAUUCUCCUUUUCCCGCUAUCACCACACCUACAUAAUCCUUGCCAUCGAUAGCUGCUGCCGCUACCAUUUCUAUUGCUAUUGACUGCUGUGCAUCUUGUCGACAGCUUCUUCAAGUAGUAGAACGUGUUAGGUCAUCCGUCCUUGUUCAAAAUUCAAUCAGAAUCGUUCUCUCCAGUUGCUGCAGUUGCACCAGAAUCACUGCUUGCUAGAAUCUUCUAUGAGCCAGAAUCUUCUGCAAAGUUGCGUUGCCAGAAUCCUGAACGUUGUCCCGACUCCAAAUUGCAUCGCCGGAUUUACUAUUCUACAGGUCACGAGGUUUUUGUAUUAUACAAUAGUUGUGCUAGGCUCAUUGAUGAGAAAAUUUCAUUCAUUAGCCUACAUAACACAAGUACAUAUAACAUUGAUCACCAUUUUUAAAAAAUUGCUGAUGCAUUCAAGGCCAAAGGAAAGAAGAAUAUGUUAUUUUUAGCUCCUCACAAUCCAAGGGCCAUAGCAUGUUACCAAGGUGGUGAAAGUCUCCCUCCAAAUACACAAAAGAGUGAUCAUGAUGGGCAUUAUACAUGAAACAAAAUAAGGGUUUGUAUUAUUUAUUUAAUAAAACAUGUUUGGUAUGUAUAUAAAUGAUUGUUCGAUUAAUAUUUUAUGUUUGUUAUUCUGAAUAUGUUAUUUUGGAUUGGUGUAGAAUUUUUGAAAAAUUCGAGAACGUCCAAGUUAUAGGGGCAGCUCUGUCGGAUUUUCUCCAAAUUUGAUCUGUAGAUCAUAUCUUGAUCUGAUUAGCUCUAUUUUGUUUCUAACAUGUUUGGAUAAUUACAUCUUAAUUUAUUUUUUUAUAGGUACCUACACAAAUAAAAACCUAGGAUGUGGUUAUUAUGUGUUGAAGUGUAUGAAUGAAGUAUUCGCACAAUAAGAGUUGAUCAUUCUACUAAGUGCAAAUGUUUCAAAAUUACAUUCAUGUCUUACAUAUAACAAAGAUAAUUAACUAUAUGUUGAUUUUUCUUGUAGUAUUUUGCUAGAGCAAGAUCUUCGCAUUUAACCAUGGAGCAAAUAGAAGAUGUGAUUGAGGAGUGGUCAGAAUAUAUAAUUAGUUGUUUGUGAUAAGUAACAUCUAAUG
Long non-coding RNA from Prosopis cineraria, 1116 nucleotides. RefSeq lists it as uncharacterized. The record is from RefSeq and is a predicted model, not a curated record. The transcript is spliced from 3 exons. NCBI's taxonomy places the organism in Eukaryota, Viridiplantae, Streptophyta, Magnoliopsida, Fabales, Fabaceae.